This 69-nucleotide small RNA is filed under the name Arabidopsis thaliana (thale cress). RNAcentral's name for it is "ATSL212590". The record is from RNAcentral. Lineage: Eukaryota; Viridiplantae; Streptophyta; Magnoliopsida; Brassicales; Brassicaceae.
UAUUUACAAAAAUUAAGGUUACAUUUAAAAUGUACUUCCCAAAUAAUAGAGUAAGAUGUACUAUUAUUU